Drosophila miranda is the source of this 2011-nucleotide long non-coding RNA. RefSeq lists it as uncharacterized. Lineage: Eukaryota; Metazoa; Arthropoda; Insecta; Diptera; Drosophilidae. The record is from RefSeq and is a predicted model, not a curated record. The transcript has 2 exons.
UGAAAAUCUUUAAAGAUAAUAUGCAUAUACAUACACAAUCUUUGAACAUGAAACAUUAUUAUUAUUUUUUAAAAUUUAAUCUGUCACGCUAUACAAAUAUUUUUGACAAUAUAAAAAAUAUUUAACCAGUAAAAAGUUAGCUUCGGCGCCCCGAAGUUUAUGUACCCGAACAAUGCAUCGCUCACUUGUAAGCAUUCUUUUUGGUAAGCUCCGAGUAGUCUACUUACCAAGAAUACCCAUGGCCAGUACCGUAUUCUGCCAUCUAAAUGACAUAGUUAUUUAGGUGUCCGAUUUGGACAUGGAAAAAAAACGAUACUCAGUCAGUAUAAAUGUUAUCUUUUGAUUUAUGUAACUUCUUCUAUAUUGGCAUUUCCAUGAUGUCGAACGGGACAAGUGCUAGGAGGUAAAAAUAAGACGGAUUUUCAAGAUGUACUGCAUUGAUGUUUUUUAAAAAUGGUUAUAAUUUAAUGCAAAUAUGAUUUAUAGUUUUUUUUAAAAUUAAUUUAAACUUCUGUCGCUCGGGACUAGUAAAAGUUAAAAAAUAUGCCGUUAACCGAUAUUAAGCAAAUAAAAAUACCACAAAAUACCGAAAAAGUGAACACUUGCUUAUUUUAAAAGGUUUUCAGAUCAAAGUAAAUCAAUUUAUAUGUCACUUGAUUAAAUUAAUUAAAUUUCAAAAGUAUAUGAAAUUGGGUUUAUAUUAUUUUUUAAUAAUUUGGUAUUCCAUGGGAAUAGCUUCACAAAUUCAAAACUAUUUUUGAGACAUUUCGAGUCUUCCAAUUAUAACAAGUGAGAUGACUUUUUGGAUAGAAUGCCCAUACUCAAAGAGUGUGUAAAUAUUAGAUUUAUGGUGAAAGUGGAUGUGUGUAACACCCAGAAGGAAGCGUUUCCGACCCGAUAAUCAGCAUUAAUAGCCGAGUCGAUAUAAUCAUGUCUGUAUGUCCGAUCGUCCGGCUAUUCGUCUGUCUUCAGGAGCGUCUAUAUCUCAAAGACUAUGAGAGCUAGAGCCACCAAAUUUUGUAUUCAGACUCCUGUGUUAUCACAGUGUAACCAGGGUAUUUCACAAUUUCCCUUUUUCUUUUUUUCAAAAAAGCAGUCCUGUGUCUGAAUAAAAUUAAUCUAAACAGAUAAAAAAUUUAAAUUUAAAAAGUGUUGAUGAUUGGUGUGAGCGGUAACAUGCUCUAAGAAAAAGAAGCUUCUCUCGACGACAACAGUCGUUGUUGCUCUUCUAUGGAAAGGGUAGGAACUGAGUGUCUGCAGGGACGCGACGAUGAUUAAUGGUUUAAAAACGAGAAUAUAUGUAGGUUCGUCUAGCCUGUUCCGAAGCUGGCUUUAACGGUUUGGCGACAACACCUCAUCGCUCCUGUAAAAGCACAGAAUAGAGCUCUUGAUGACGAUCAUCAUCAAAAUGCAGAACUACAUGUUCAUCUAUCGUAUCGUAUCCGUCGUACGUAGGCAUAUGUAUAUCUUAAUGAGUGCAGUGGUUGCAUUGGAUUUCUGCCAUCUGAUGAAAACCUUGGCAAUUGAAUAAGGCUAAGAGACGGGUCCGGUCUUCGCCAAGGUGGAAGCUGCCCACAAGCCAUAUUAGCAUUGGUUAUUCCCCCAGAAACCGUAGAAGGAGGAAACAGGUGAGGGAAACGACUACCGACUUCACGCCGAAUCGAAGCAUUCAGCGUCAUGAAACGAUAAUCAAAGUUGUCGCACGAUCCACUGCGAGUCUUGUCGUAGUCCAACUCCUAGAGCUCUUUGCGCAGGAUUUUAAAUGUGCCCCGCAACUUCUCGAUUUCCUCUAGGAGUCAAACAGACCGACAUGGCUAUCUCGACUGGGGUAUUGAGUACUUGGCGACCCCAUAAAGUAUAUAUAUCAAGAAUAUCAGCAUCAUAUAUUAAUUGUAUUUUGUAUUUUUGAUUAUAAAAUAAUAUCACUGAUACAAAUUAUGUUGUUUGCUGUUACUGAUAGAGCAACUUACACAGGAAAAUCUACAAUGACUUAAAAAAAAAAAAAAAAAAA